Molecule: ribosomal RNA, 464 nt
Filed under: uncultured bacterium
Lineage: Bacteria
Description: partial 16S ribosomal RNA
Rfam family: Bacterial small subunit ribosomal RNA
Source: RNAcentral
GACGAACGCUGGCGGCGUGCUUAACACAUGCAAGUUGAAUGGUAAGGCCCUUUCGGGGGUACACGAGUGGCGAACGGGUGAGUAACACGUGGGUGAUCUGCCCUGCACUUUGGGAUAAGCCUGGGAAACUGGGUCUAAUACCGGAUAGGACUACGCGAUGCAUGUCGUGUGGUGGAAAGCUUUUGCGGUGUGGGAUGGGCCCGCGGCCUAUCAGCUUGUUGGUGGGGUGAUGGCCUACCAAGGCGACGACGGGUAGCCGGCCUGAGAGGGUGUCCGGCCACACUGGGACUGAGAUACGGCCCAGACUCCUACGGGAGGCAGCAGUGGGGAAUAUUGCACAAUGGGCGCAAGCCUGAUGCAGCGACGCCGCGUGGGGGAUGACGGCCUUCGGGUUGUAAACCCCUUUCAGCACAGACGAAGCGUAAGUGACGGUAUGUGCAGAAGAAGCACCGGCCAACUACGUG